AAAAAUAAAUAAAAAAAACCUAGAGGUUCUCUCAAAUUGGCAGAAAGCCGCAGCUGGUUUUAGCUGACCCCAACAAAAAGGCCCCCCCAAUAUGCAAAUGCUGCCCAUUAUGAAUUUCCAAAUUUACCCUUCUCCCUUUCCUUAUAUAUCCGAACCUUCCUCCCACUUUCUCCUCAAACCUCACACUCCGUUCUUCUUCUUCUUCUCUUCAAACCCUCUCUUUCCCUUCAAAAUUUUCCAUUUUUAACCUUACAAAAAUGGCCAAAGGAGGCAAACUCACGAAACUCAAAUCUGUGUUAAAGAAAAUGCAAUCCUUCAAACUCGGCCGCGUAAAUGGCAGCGCCGUCGUAGCCACACAUCAUUCUUCCUCCUCCGACAACGAUUCCUUUUCCGAUGAUAAUCACUGCUCUAACAAAAAUGUGUAUCCUGUCUAUGUCGGAAAAUCGCGCCGCCGGUACCUUCUAAACUCCGACGUCGUUGACCACCCGCUUUUCCGUGAACUCGUCGAAAAGUCCGGCGAUUCUGAAGAAUAUAUUACAGUUGGAUGUGAAGUUGUUCUCUUUGAACAUUUGCUUUGGAUGCUUGAAAAUGCUGAUCCUCAACCUGAGUCAUUGGAUGAGUUGGUUGAAUUUUACUCUUGCUGAUGUGGAAUAACUGUCAGUAACUGAAUGGAAAAAAAAAAUAACUGUGACGUGGACGUGGUAAUUGGAUAUGACCACCCACUAUCUCGUAUAUAGCUGUAAAUUUUUCUUUUUUGGUCAUAUGAUUUUGAUUAAUUAGCGGUAGAGAGAGGAAAAAAGAAAAGAAAAAAAAAACAUGAUAGAGAGGAUUAAUUAAUUAGUCCAUUUUUAUAAGGCAAAUUUCUUAUUUUAAGAGAGAAGCCUAAUGGGUGAUUAUUGUUAUUCAGUCAAUGCAUGUUUCAUUCUUUCUCUGUAAGUUUUUACCUUUAUCCAUUUUGUCCUUCAAUUUCUCUCUCUUUUCUUUUUCUUAUUUGAAACCAACUAACAUCGACAAUGCUGGCAUUUUGCUUUUUACUACGGUUAAAUAAAAAUAAAGGAAAAAUGACAUUAUAUAGUCACUCUUAAAAUAAUAGUCGAAAUAUAUAUAUAUACACACUAUAUGUUAUAUAUAAAAAUUAAACAAAUUUUGUAUACUUUUUCGGCUAUUAAAUAUAAAUAGUUUCUGACACGAGCUAAAAGUGAUUGUGCCCGAAAUAUAAAUUGAAGUGUACUAGUAAUUCUUAAUGGUCCUUCUUUCAUGGUAUUAUGUGUUUUCAAAAUUAAUUAAGUAGGAUGACUCCAAAGAAUUUACUUAGCAUAGAGUCAAUACGUUUAUCUCUAGGAUAUAUAAACACACCUUAAACUUAGUUAAUCUAAAUUUUGAAUUCAGCUUUAUAGAACUACUAAUUAUCGAUAUAUAGUAUAAAUUUAUCUGAAUUCAAGCCCAGGGGCAGAUUUAUAAGGUAGUUUAUGGGGCACGUGAAUAGAUGGUCGUUUUGCCAAACUAGGUAUUUUAGUUAAUAUUAUCUGUUGGCACCUAUGUUACACAAAGACUGAAUGGUCCCUUGGUUGAAUAUAUUUACCCAAAGGAAUAUAGAUCAAUUCUUAAUAUUUUUUUGUCUCCUAACCUUAAUGGUACACCCAUAUUUUAGAAGUCCUAGAUCUGCCUAUGGCGGGCCAGGGUUAAAAACAAUAAAAAUUGCUAUGCUAAUUAAGCGGAGUUGGAAUCAAGGUGACAUAUUAUGCUAAGGUUAUCUAAUGUUGAAAAAUAUCAUAAAUUGAUACUACUUGAUUUAAACGUACUACAGCUGUUGGUCUUUUUUUUCUCCCUUGUUACAGCUGUUGGUUGGGUCACCAGUUUUGAAUCCUUUUUUGGUGUUUGUCCUUCACAUUAACUAUAUUGUCCAAAUUAGGGCUUGAGCUCCUUAUACACGUACUCACUUUUCGUACGUAUAAAUGGAAAUUGAUCCGUCAAUCUUUUUCCAUUAAUUCCACAACCCAUUACCACUAUGUUGUUUGAGUUCUGGAGAAGCUAUAUAGAUUUAAACGUGAUGAAGGAGUUAAAGUACAAGCUGUAAGAUAAUGAUGGGGAUAAUUAAAUGUCCACCUUAAUUACUUAGCUUGAUUGCUUAGUUAACCAUUAAAGUUUAUGGUAGAUUAGUAAUUAUUUCUCCAUUUUUAGUCAGAAAUCUCGAGUUCCAGCUUUGGAAUGGAUUCGUCUUCGGAGGGGGCCGCAUUAUCAUUUUUCCGAUGCGAAUCCGAAUUAGUCGGGCCUAAGGCUAGUGCAGAACAAAAAAAAAGGUAGAAUAGCCCGAUACACAAAGUAUCAUGCAUUCACGUAGGGUCCGAUAAAGGAUCACAUCCCAAGAGGUGUGAAGUAGAUAGUCUAUCCUAAUUACUAACGUGGAAACAACUUUAUCGUUGCUCCAAGGUUCCCUUCAGAUAAGAAAAAGAUAGGUUAACUAGUUAGCAUGCAUGUAAGUUGUAACUGAUGUAUGAUUUUGUCUAAUAGUAUAAACUUCGUCUUUAUGAUUUGCAGAUUUUCAACUCUACUACGUACGCUUGAAUUAGUGAAAAUAAAUACAUCGGUCCUACUAAUGACUACGUAUUACAUAAUAAAAGUAAUUUAAAAAGGAGAUUUGCAGCAACCAGCUGGUUGAGGUGUGUAAAGGUACGACAUGAUAAGAAUUUAAUGCUUCUUCCUAAUGAAGCUGAGUCUUUAGUGGAACUGCUAGUUGUCUUGAUAAUAUGUUAGCUCUUAAGCAGAGAAAAAAAAUUAAAAUUUUGCAAUUUUUUUAAUUAUAAAACCCAUAGCAGAAGGAAAAGAAAAGGGUAGUUUACAUAGUUUAUGAUACUAAUGAUUGGGUAGUUGAAGAUGCUUUUGGUUUUCCAAGAAACAUCUCUAUUGUUUUUGUUAAUAUGGUGAUAGGUAUAAUGUAUACAUAAUAAAAAAUUAUGUACCCAACACACGCUCUUUGUUUGUAGUUUUGUUUGUUGGUAGAAAGAUAUUCUUAUUGCCCUUUUGAAAGAAUGUAUAAAAAAAUUAAGUAUGGAUUAAGGGAGGAUUUUUGUAUAUUAAUUUAUUAAUGCUAAGUGAGAAGACACGAAAUUAAAAGAUAUCGUUCCUAACACAAAGUGAGUACCUUAUUAUCUGUAACGACGCGUUUCUAUUAAUCUUUAAACUUGUUAUAAUAUCCUCUUAUUAUACUUCAUCUGCCACCAGUACAACAAAUCUAUGCAUUGUGCAAAUUAAAAAUUGGUUUACCACUCGGCAAUGUAAGGAAAAUUCGAAUUCUGAAGUAUGUUCUUAGAGGUUUUAACUGAACUUAGGGGUGCAUUGAUUCUGUAUAAGGUUGGGUUAAAACUCUUAUUACUCUAUAACUUGUCCAGUGUUUUAGUUGCGAAAUGGUGAUUGCAUAUUAAACUCCACGUAGCUAAUUAAUCCUUAUUUCUAGCAAAAUAAAAAAUCACAUUAAACCUAUUAGGCGUUUGGGCACAAAAAUUGUAAUUUUUGAGAAAAAAAAAAGUAGUAUUUGGAGUUAAGUUCAAAAAUGGUAUUUAGAAUUUGAAAUUAUGUUGGGACAUGCACUUGAAAAAAUAUUGCAGUUUUGUGAAUAGGAAACAAAAUAUUUUGAAAAUUUAUUUUCAAACAUUGUCAAAAAUUUGAUGGACAAACACAAAAAAAUCAUUUUUUUUAUUUUUUUUAUGGACAAACUGGUCCUUAGUACACUAGCCAAACGAGUUGUUGACCUUGUGGUACAAUUUAUUCCUGAUCGAAUAACUUUUUGAUACUUUUUGUUUCCCGAGAUUAUCUAAGCACAAUACUGAAAUAAUUUUACAAACAUUUAUAUUUGUUUUUACCACUUUGAUAUGAAGAAAAUUACAAUUUAUAUUAUUUUUUUGUGCGUUUUGAAUAUUUAAAUUUUAAUUUAAAUAAGAUUAAACUAAUGGUAGUAUCUGAUUAGUUGAUCGAAUUAACUCUCAAUAAGCCAAUAUUACUGUCGAACAAAAUUGAGCUAACUCAUUUUUGAAAGAGUUCAACUUUAAUCGUAUAAACCUAUUUUUUACGCUAUCGGGUUUACCUAGCUAAAAGAGAACAACAAGUAACUGUUUAAAAUAAGUGAGAUUAGAAACCUAAAAAACUAUGUUCCUAACAGAUUACUACUUGUUACAACUUCUUGAAUUAAUAGAUUAAUCGUAUAAAAAUUCUUUUACAUUCCAUCAGUAUAUAUUAAGUUAAAUAUCUUUUUUGUAAUACUACUCAGUGUCACUGUUUAUAUAUAUAUAGUCAAAGCAUAACUUAGCAUUCAAACAUCAAAUUCGUUUAGCAUUAUAUAUAUAUAUAUAUUUCCCCACAAGGGAAAAGUAAAAGCAAAGUGAGGAGUAUAAUUUGAUUUGAGAGUUGAUAAAGUUGAUGAACUUUAGAGAAAAGAGAGGUUUAGGAAAUAUUAUACCGCCGGACCUAUCUAUGACAUCUCUACGUAAUAGCCGUUCAUUAUAAAAAUUAAGUUAUUUUUAGAACAAACAAGACUAUUAUAUAGUGGUUUGACUAUAUUGACAAAGCAAAGGAGAGAGUACAGAGGGAGCAUAUAUAUCGGUUAGAAUAGAUGCUGAAAUGACUAAACAAAAUGCAGCAACCAAAGAGAAGCUGACAGCCGAUGUUCUCGGCUUUUUUUAUGAGAAGACAUUCAGUCAUGCCUGCUUAUGCCCAAUGUACUGCCCAUGGCUAGAGUAUAUCAUGCUCUUUCUUUGUCUCCCCCCGGGGUGUGUUGCUAGCUUCUUGUUUAUCCUUUUCUUUUUUACGCAUUCGGUACUACUAAUCUGGAUUUGCAUCGAAUAAGGCCGGACACUCAAAGGUAAAAUGCAUUUACCAAGAGGUUCUUCAUUUUCAAAACUUCAAUGGAAGACAUCUGGUUAAUUAAAGGUGGAGAGAUUUCAAACUAUCCACACCAUCUAAUCCACGUAUUGCUAUAGCAUUUUGGUUACGGAUUCAACUGAACACAUAACUUUCAAUACAAAGUAUGGAUUUUCUAUGCUGAAGGUAUUAGGUAUUUGAGACCUAUUAGCCCUACGUUUUUUAAAUUGCAAUGGAUAAGCCUAAAACGUUGUUUUUUUCAAGUUCUUUUUCAGAACUUGAAUGGAAGACAUAUGGUCAAAGAUGGAGAGAUCUUAAUUAACUAUGGAAUUUUUACCUCCUAUAGCAAAGGUUAACACCUUAUUUAUUUUAAAUAAAUAUCAUUUAAAAAAUUGUAUUCUAUAGAUACCUUUUAAGGUUUAUAGCAAAAUAUUUAAUUUUGGUUACUUUCUAGCCCUAAGCCACUAAAUACGCUAUUCAGUUACACUAUUUUCUUUCUCUUUCUACUUUGAUACAUCUCAUUCUCUUCCCCCAUCCCAUUAAAAUUUCCGCUCUUCUUCUCCUUUCACCGAAUUUGUGCAAAGCCCACUUCAGAGCAGGUUCACUCUCCUUCAAGUCUUUCCCGACGGCGACAUAUAUCAUAUCGUCGGCCACUCUCGCCGCGGGCAUUAAUUCACAUGUCCAGGAAGAAAGGGGGUUGAGUGCAACAGAAUCUAAUUGAAGGUUGGAAUCUUUUUUAUCGAUUCUUGAAUUUUACUAUAAGUUUUCAUGUUGGUCUUUUAUUCUUUCUUUUUUGAAUUCUUAUGUUUAAUAGUUUUACAGGAUGUGUGGGAACAGUGAGAUUCAGGAUUUUGCUCGACGGCGGAUUCGCCAGAAAUUAGUGUUUGUUCUUGAACAAAGAUGACGAAUUUUGGGGCUGAGCAACUUGAUUUUCUGUUAAUAUAUUUUAAUGUAUUUUCAACGUAUCACGCUGUAUUUUCAUGUAUUUCAUUGUAUUCAUUAUGUUUUUUUUCCAUUGUAAUUCAAUGUAUCUCGUUGUAUUCCAUGUAUUUCAUUGUAUUCACUGUCUUUUUUUCUCAUUGUAUUUCAAUGUAUCCCGUUGUAUUCUAUGUAUUUCAUUGUAUUCACUAUCUCGCUAUAUGCCAAGAAUGUAUUCAUAUGUUUUUUAAAUUAAUUUAAUUUAUGUAUUCAGAUGUAUUAUAUAGUUUCUCUGAAAAUUGCUAUGUUUUUGGGGUAUUUUUCGGUUGAGAAUCUUUUUUAUAUUGAAAAUACAAAAUUUGUGUGUUAUAAUUGGGUUUGUUGAGUUAUAUUANNNNNNNNNNNNNNNNNNNNNNCGCUUUAAAAACAAUGUAAUCCCUUAUUUCACGUCGUGAAUACAGUCGAAUACAAUAAUCUGUCCAGCUGUGAUCUCAUGUUUCACUCCAUAAAUACAGUCGAAUACACUCGAAUACAACAACUAAUUAGCUGGACUUCCCUGAUUCACGCCUAUUUUUGCCACUGUAUUCAUGAAUGCAAUAGCUUAAAUACAUCAAAUACAUCUUAUAACCACAGAAAAAUAUCUAUAAUCCGUAAUAUAUCAAAUGAUAUCUAUAGAUCACUAAUUACUACUAAAAGAUAGUGUUUAUGAAAAUUUCUCAUUAACUAUCCACAGCAGCCCUUCGAGAAUAAGUCACCAAACAUGUUGGCAUCACAUUUUCAGAACAUACUCAGUAAACAUUUAUUUUAUUUUACUUAAUUCUUCUUAAGUAAGAACUUAACUUAAGAUAUAAGAAAGGCCAACCAUUAAUCCUAACAGUAUUUUAUGCAACAUUGAAUAGUUAUAAGAAUUAAAUGAGCGAAAAGUUUUGUUUAUCUCGAAAAUACAAGUAACAAUUAAAUUUGAUUAGUGGUUUUAAAGAUAUGUGAUUUAGUUCAAUACUAAUUAAUAAUUAAGAGAUAUAAGGUAGAAAUGAAAUGUUAUUCAGCACUAGUGACCUCGAGAUGGGUCUAGAACAAUAAGAACAAUUAGGCAAGAAAAGUAAAGUAAGAGCAGUAGAGCUAAGGACAAUUCUGACAAACAGUAGGCGAAAAAGCAAAGAGUAUAUUUUUUGCUCAAUGAUUAGAUGAUGUUACAAAUGAUUGGGGUCCCCUUUAUAUAAUAGGGGAACCCUAAAUAAGGUAUAUUUCUAUUUACAGUGAGGAAUAUUCUUGAUACAGCUGUCUAACCGCCUAAUGCGGAAUCGUACAAUUCUAUUCUGGGAUUUGCGCCACGAUCUUGGGGACGUGGCAGGAAUCUAACUCAUUCUGUACAGAUCCACAACAGUACUAUUUCGGGGUCCAGCAUACUCGGUUUCGAUAUUCCUCGUACUCAUAUCUCCGAGCAUUGCAUUCUGUCUCCGAGCUUGAGUCCGGUCCAUCAGGCUCGACCUCGACCUCGAGCCUAUAAAUCGAGUAGCCCUGAUUUCUACCGUAUACAAGUUUGAGAGACCAACCCACGUGUGAGUGCGACGAGAAAUCUCAUUUUAGCCGUACAACGACCCCCCUAAUAUUUAGCCCACAAAUCCUCCAUCAUUUUAAGACAAUCUUAUGCCUGAUGCCUCGUGUGGUUUGUCCACCAAGUUUAUGUUUUUUUUUUUCAAAUAAUCCUCCAAAUUUACGGAUUUUCUUUUAAAAGUUUUUCUAUCCUAGAGUUUUUAUAUUUUGAAGCUAACAAAUUUUUUAACUUCGGUCGGUGAAUUUAUAUCAAAAUUGUUCGUUUCUUCAAGUCAACGGAACCUUGACUGUAAAUAUGAGACAGAAAAACAACAAAAUAUUAAAGCUUGGACAUCUCAAGACACAUCCAAGUAGCCAACAGAUCACAAAUUCACUAACAUACGAUUAAUAACAUAUUUUCUUUUUGGUACGUUUCAAAAAGAAUUAAUGGUCCCUUUAUAAAUUUGAAAAUAAUUUAAUUUAAACUUUCAAUUCUACCCUUAAUGAGAAGCUUUUUUAAUCACACAAAUACUUUGAACCCCUUUCUGACUUGUUUAGGACCACAAAUUCCAAAAGCUUUUAUUUUUUCUUAAACUCGGUGUCUAGUUAAACAAAUUCACGUAAAUUAGAACUUAGGGAAUUAUUCUUUUAAAAAAAAUACUUAGAGCCCGUUUGAACAUAAGAAUUUUUUCACUUUUUCUUUCGAAAAAUUUCCACUUUUUUUCGAAAUCAGUGUUUGGCUUAAAAUUUCCAAUUUUCACUUGAAGAUGAAUUUUGAAAUUUUUCAAAAAUUCAAAAAACUCCAAAAAACUAUUUUUCAAAAUUUCACUCAGAUCACCCACAAAAUUCAAAAACAACCCAAAAUUAUAUUCGUGUCCAAACACAACUCUAAAUUUUAAAUAUCAUUUUCAUUUGAAAAAAAAAAUUAAUUUUACAAUUCUUGUGUCCAUACGCCCACUUAAAAUGUUGAAAAGUUAAAAGCUACAAUAAUCACAACAGCAACAAUAAAUCCAGUUUGAUUCUAUAAAUGGGGUUUAGGGAUGGUAGUAUGUAUGCAGAUCAUACCCCUAUCUCAUAGAGAUAGAGAGGCUAUUUCUGAUAGAACCUAGGCUUAAGAAACAGUGAAAAUAAAGCAGCCAAGUAGCAAGAAAAGUUAAAAGCUAAAGAAACAUUAUCUAACACCUAUAUAAUACUGUCAUUUAUUUUUAAGAAAAAAAAAAGAAUAAAAGAAAACACGCCAUUAUCGAAGAUUAUAAUAGGAUGGAUAUGAUACCUGCAUCAUUAAUCAGAUGUCUCGAUUCGAGCCCUUUUAUGAAUAGUAAAAGAAUCUAGUAGGAAUUGAUUCAUUGAUUCCUCCUUUAGUAAGUUCGAAUACGAAUUAAUCAGAGCUCCAAUACGAAUAUCGCGGAUGAAAUGUGCUUCGGAAGCGCAAGGGGCAAGGGCCAAAAUUGUCUAUUCGCCACUGUACAACAAGUAGUACUGAAAAGAGACGUAAAAGAGCUCGUAAUAAAAUGGGGCCCAAAGCGUUAUUAGAAGAAAACAGAGGGAGAAUAAGCAGAUUCGGCCCACAGCAUAUUUUUCUAAACUUGGUGGGCCUAAAGCUGUCAUUAGCCUUUCCCCAAAUUGUUUUCCUCUUUUUAUUUUGUCUUUUUUCCUCCCAUUCUACUCUAUUUCACUUAUUAAUUCAAUAAAUAGUUUAGAUUCUGAUGGUAUAAAAAAUCAUGCAAAUUAUAUUACUUAAAAGAUAAUUUUAGGUAAGUCAAUUUUCUAAUCAUUGAUUUACAACUUAAAAGAAAUGAUAAGUAACAUGUAAUAACAAGUUAAAUAUCUAAUUUUGAAGAAAAAAAAUUAUGUUAUCAAUUUCUAUAAUUAACUUAAAACUUUUUAGGUGGCUGAAUGAGUGACUAAUUGAGUUGAUCUCUAAAAUCUAUCGACUUUUUAAGGGAUUACUAUAACAUCCCAUUAGAGGUGGAUCUAGAAUUUAAACUUUAUAGGUUCAACCUUUAAAAUUAUUAGCAUUUAAUCUACUACAUUUUUAAAGCUAUAAAUUUAUAUAUAUAUUUUUAUUAUAAUUUUAGUAAAUUUUACACAUAAAUUUAUAUUUGGCCUAAAAAAUUAUAGGUUCCACUCAAGCCGUGAAUUUAAUGUUACAUUGGCCCCAGCAUCCAACAAGAAGAAGCACCAAGGAACAACAUGCCAAAAGUCCAAAUUUAUUGUUUUAUAGUGUGACUGAGCCAUCAUUCUUUCAUUCAAUCCAUCACCUCUUGCUCUUGGGAGUCCAACAAAUAUUUUUGACAUUUUCACAUGCGUGAACACUACUUACAAGACUUUAAAUCUAUCCAUCUCCACAUGUAUUCCAUAUCUACUGUCUCGGAGUCAGGUUUUAAAUUUUAUAUAUGAGGUCUGUAUAUUUGGACGAUAAUCGCAUAGUUUUUGUUAAAGCUAUAUGAUGGAUUCUACAAUAACAUAACAUAUUCAGUGUAGUCAUACAAGUAAAAUU
RNAcentral lists this long non-coding RNA (9805 nucleotides) under Nicotiana tabacum (common tobacco). RNAcentral's name for it is "long non-coding RNA (NTAB_LNC018053)". The record is from RNAcentral. Lineage: Eukaryota; Viridiplantae; Streptophyta; Magnoliopsida; Solanales; Solanaceae.